UCUUUGUACAUGUUCUUAUUUAUAUACAAGUGAUCUACUCUAACUAGAAAACUAAGGUACAAUAGGAAACAAUAAUUACAAUAGGAAAAGUAAUCAACAAACACCUAAUAAUCUGCUAUCACAACAGAAUCGGGAUUCCAACACUUCUAAUGAUCAUUCAUCUAUUUUCAAUGAGUUAUGCUACAUGUUAUGUAUGACAUCACAUGCACACUUCAUCAGCGCGGAUAACUGAUCUAAUGUUAACAUCAAUAAUAUGAAAACUUUUAAAAGUAUGUAACUCUUAUGAUCAUUCAGAAAGCUCAAUGAAUUUGAAAGUUGUUCAAGUUUUAGUGUACCAAAACAAGCUUACUUGAAGUAUCAGGAAACCAUCUGAGAGAAAAAAAGGUUGUUUGCUUGUAAGUCGAUUGUGAUGACCAUAGGGUUAAAACUUCAUUUAACCUAUUGCUAACAGCAGCCACUCUUUAUUCAAUAUGCUUUGCUAAUAUGUGCCAUUUCUUUCAUGAUUUCAAUGUACGUUGGUUCUUGCCUUUUUCUAUGUCUGAAUCUGAGUUUUCACCUUACAAUUGCAAGAAAUUGUUUUAAUUUUCAGGAAGCUGAGGCAAUACUAGAA
RNAcentral lists this unclassified non-coding RNA (610 nucleotides) under Hevea brasiliensis (rubber tree). Lineage: Eukaryota; Viridiplantae; Streptophyta; Magnoliopsida; Malpighiales; Euphorbiaceae. The record is from RNAcentral.